AGUGAACGCUGGCGGUAGGCCUAACACAUGCAAGUCGAACGGCAGCACAGUAAGAGCUUGCUCUUACGGGUGGCGAGUGGCGGACGGGUGAGGAAUACAGCGGAAUCUACUUUUUCGUGGGGGAUAACGUAGGGAAACUUACGCUAAUACCGCAUACGACCUACGGGUGAAAGCAGGGGAUCUUCGGACCUUGCGCGAUUGAAUGAGCCGAUGUCGGAUUAGCUAGUUGGCGGGGUAAAGGCCCACCAAGGCGACGAUCCGUAGCUGGUCUGAGAGGAUGAUAGGCCAAACGGGAACUGAGACACGGGCCAGACCCCUACGGGAGGCAGAAGUGGGGAAUUUUGGACAAUGGGCGCAAGCCUGAUCCAGCCAAACCGGGGGGGUGAAGAAGGCCUUCGGGUUGUAAGCCCUUUUGUUGGGAAAGAAAAGCAGCAGGUUAAUACCCCGCUGUUCUGACGGUACCCAAAGAAUAAGCACCGGCUAACUUCGUG
This 491-nucleotide ribosomal RNA is filed under the name uncultured bacterium. Its description in RNAcentral is "partial 16S ribosomal RNA". It matches the Rfam family "Bacterial small subunit ribosomal RNA", at positions 29 to 507 of the family's 1533-position model. The record is from RNAcentral.